AGGUGAACUGCGUUAUAGCGAGGGUCCACUAUAAUUUUGAAGAAAUGCUGCUUUUCAUGAAUCACUGAAGCCAGUUUUCCUGUGAGGAAAGAAAUGCCAUGUGACACCAAACAAUAUUUACAAAGGAGUCUUAGGGUCACAUGAAGGUAAAAUAAUGUUUUAUCAGUUUUUACACUAAAAGUGUCCCACAGAUGCUGCGACUUUUGUCCAAACUGCAGUAUUAGUGAAAAACCUCAACAAGCAGACGAGUGAGGACUUUGAUGCUGGGAAGGAAACAGAAAGAAGAGUCUGUCUGCUGAAUUCAAACUGGGAGCUGGUUCCACAGGAGAGGAUUCUGAAAGCUGAAGGCUCUGCCUCCCAUUCUAGUUUUAAAGACUGGGAAUCACCAGUACGACUGCAGUCUGACAGCGACGUGCUCUGUUGGGAUCAUACGGUACUAUACGGUUAUUAAGAUGUGAUGGGGCCUGAUUAUUCAAGGUGUUGCAUGUGAAAAAUGUGUUGAACAAUUUCUAUGAUAAGUUUGAAUACUGUAAUUGUUUCUGAUUAUAUUCUCAGAUUUUCCCUGCUGGUUCUUACAUAUCACCCAAUAUUUUUAAUCUCAAACUUCUUGGAUUAACUGGAUGUUUAUUUGGCAGUUUUUAGAACAACCUGAUUAUAAAUGAAUUACAACCGUCAAGCCUGGAAAUAAAAAAAUAAAUGUGAACAAAA
Molecule: long non-coding RNA, 708 nt
Organism: Oreochromis niloticus (Nile tilapia)
Lineage: Eukaryota; Metazoa; Chordata; Actinopteri; Cichliformes; Cichlidae
Exons: 2
Source: RefSeq, a predicted model, not a curated record